Molecule: non-coding RNA, 19 nt
Filed under: Arabidopsis thaliana (thale cress)
Lineage: Eukaryota; Viridiplantae; Streptophyta; Magnoliopsida; Brassicales; Brassicaceae
Source: RNAcentral
UUGUUAUUUGGAUGCUGCU